This 31-nucleotide non-coding RNA is filed under the name Mus musculus (house mouse). Lineage: Eukaryota; Metazoa; Chordata; Mammalia; Rodentia; Muridae. The record is from RNAcentral.
UGACGGGCUGCUCAAUGUUCUCUACAGUUUU